RNAcentral lists this ribosomal RNA (1234 nucleotides) under vouchered mycorrhizae (Genea). Its description in RNAcentral is "eukaryotic LSU rRNA". The stretch from base 625 to 1234 matches the Rfam family "Eukaryotic large subunit ribosomal RNA", at positions 1 to 611 of the family's 3401-position model. Lineage: Eukaryota; Fungi; Ascomycota; Pezizomycetes; Pezizales; Pyronemataceae. The record is from RNAcentral.
AGGAUCAUUAUCAUGUAAAUUCAGUCAUGCUUGCUGCGUGAGCUGCAAUAAACCCACACUGCGUACACCUUUCCUGUUGCUUCCGCCGGGUCCGGACGAGAGAUCCGUGCCCGGCGGAAAAUAACCUCCAAGUCAUACCAUAGAAUCAGUCUGAGCAAACAAAGAAACCAAAUGAAAUGUUAAAACUUUCAGCAACGGAUCUCUUGGUUCUCGCAUCGAUGAAGAACGCAGCGAAAUGCGAUAAGUAGUGUGAAUUGCAGAAUUCAGUGAAUCAUCGAAUCUUUGAACGCACAUUGCGCCUCCCGGUACUCCGGGAGGCAUGCCUGUUCGAGAGUCAUUGACAACCACAUCGAAUCCCCCCGUUUUUGGGGGGAGAUCGGUUCUGGGGGAAGAGGGGGUGAGCUGCCUCGCUACGCUUGGCAAAUCCCCUCCCCUCCGAAAUUCAUAUGCGGUCUGUGCCAAACCCACAUGUUUAUAUGGGCGCGUUGUAGAGGAGGCCCCUCACGAAUUUGGAGGAGCCACUUUUCGCGUGUGUAUGAUAAUGCUGGUUGGGUUUUUUCGGGACCCCCCCAGACCAGCCAGGAAUAAAAAUCCCCAGCGGCUUUUUGUUACUAAAUCAAUGGUUGACCUCGGAUCAGGUAGGGAUACCCGCUGAACUUAAGCAUAUCAAUAAGCGGAGGAAAAGAAACCAACCGGGAUUGCCUCAGUAACUGCGAGUGAAGUGGCAAAAGCUCAAAUUUGAAAUCCGGUACCUUUGGUGCCUGACUUGUAAUUUGGAGAGACAAAUUUGGUUGGCAGCGCUGGCCUAGGUUCCUUUGAACAGGACAACACAGAGGGUGAGAAUCCCGUGCAUGGCCGGAGUUGCUGUCACAUUGCUAGAUUGUCUUCGACGAGUCGAGUUGUUUGGGAAUGCAGCUCAAAAUGGGUGGUAAAUGUCAUCUAAAGCUAAAUAUUGGCGAGAGACCGAUAGCGCACAAGUAGAGUGAUCGAAAGAUGAAAAGCACUUUGAAAAGAGAGUCAAAAAGUACGUGAAAUUGCUGAAAGGGAAGCGCUUGAGACCAGACUCGAACCGUGGUGAUCAGCCCUGCUUCUGUGCGGCGUUACUUGCCAUGGUUUGGGCCAGCAUCGGUUCCGGCGGUCGGAUAAAAGGUGGAGGAAUGUAGCUUCCUCCGGGGAGUGUUAAUUUAGCCACCACCACAAUGCGGCCAGCCGGGACCGAGGAUCGCGCUCCACG